GAAUAUUACCCUUUCUGAAUGCAUCCUGUGGAUAUUUUUUUUACGGUUGGCCAGAUUGAACGUCACUGCCAGUUUGUAAUUUGUGUCCGAGGGAUAAACCACGUCGAAUUAUGAGAAAAAAAAUUAAAUAUAAUAAUGCCUCGAACAUAUAAAAAACGAUUGGGUUCCCGAGCAUAUCGAAACUACUCCAGUAAAGUUAUAAAUCGGGCUAUGACAGAAGUGGUCGAAGGCAUGCUAUCGAUACGCCAAGCAUCCGAAUAUAAUGGUAUUGUUGGUAAAGUUUGAUAGCUUUUUACUGUUCAAUUAUGCUUCUAAACAAAAUUAACUAAAAUAUGAGACUGUUUAGAAAUAAAGUUGAUUCUUAUUAAAC
Long non-coding RNA from Cydia pomonella (codling moth), 370 nucleotides. RefSeq lists it as uncharacterized. NCBI's taxonomy places the organism in Eukaryota, Metazoa, Arthropoda, Insecta, Lepidoptera, Tortricidae. The transcript has 2 exons. The record is from RefSeq and is a predicted model, not a curated record.